This is a long non-coding RNA of Chelonia mydas (Green sea turtle), 3765 nucleotides long. RefSeq lists it as uncharacterized. Lineage: Eukaryota; Metazoa; Chordata; Testudines; Cheloniidae. The record is from RefSeq and is a predicted model, not a curated record. The transcript is spliced from 2 exons.
CAGACCCUGUGUGGAGACAAAACUCCUGUCGGGGGAGGGGGUAACAGUUACCCCGUGGGCUGAGCCGCCUGCUGUGCUUGCAAAUGUAGGGGGGGGGGGCAGAGGCCUUUUUAUUUCUGCUGACAGGAAACUGCCUGUCAGCCCUGGAGCAGAGGGCGGGUUCCUGGGGCUGGGUUCUUAAAGGCACAGGCCUCCCACUGCCUAGACUGUCGAUGCUGGGACACCGCAGCUUCUCUCUUUUUUAUCACAAGUUUAUUCUGUUGGGUCAUGUGACUUCCACUAUGACUGAUUUCCUGUCCUGUUUUCAACAAUUCCUUUGCAGUUGCUCCACCAAUGAGGAUUGCCUUUUGCUGUAUUUAUCUUGCCUGUGAAUCCAGCCCUUAGUGUCCCAUGUUCACACGUCAUUGCUCGUGUGUAGAAGUUGAUUCGCAAAUAUUCCAUAAAUGUAUUAUAUUGGGUCAUCCUACAUCCUUCCCAAGGGCAAAAAUCUUCAGCGGCAAUGAAGGUUUGGACUGAUGAGCAGUGGCUGCAGAACUUUUGGAUGCACAAGUCCACAUUCCUGCAUCUGUGUGCAAAACUCACCAAAAUAAAAGCUGCACUGACAAUGGAGAAGCAAAUAUAAAUUGCACUAUGGGGACCUGCAACACCAGAUUCUUAUUGGUCAGUCAGCGGUCUCUCUACUAAACCAAGGUGAAAUGGAUUUCUUUAAUGUAAAGUAGUCAGAACAUAUUGUUAAAGAUCAUUUCAUGUUCAAUGCCCUGUUAAUACCUCUGCAAUCACAGAACAACAAAGUAGUGUUACUGGGUUUCAGACUGUUGUCUCUUACACCUUUCUUAAGUUUCCAUAGCUAUAUUUCUGAGUAAGGCUAAGUUUUCAUAGAAUCAUAGAAGUUUAGGGUUGGAAGAGACAUCAGGAGGUUAUCUAGUCCAACCCCCUGGUCAAAGCAGGUCCAAUACCAACUAAAUCAUCUCAUCCAGGGGUUUGUCAAGCCAGGCCUUACACCAAGUAACAAGUUUUCAGGGCCAGAGAGAGGGGAGGAUUUGUGCAGGGGCCAAACCGUGCUCAGGGGAGGGAGGGACAGAUGGAGGGGGCAGGUGCCAGCGGAGAGGCCUAGGACAUUGCGGUAGCCCAUGAUCGGGGUAGACAGGGGGCUGGGAGGUGCAACACAUGGGGGGGGGAGCCUGUGCUGGGGCCCAAAACCAGGUGUGGGGGCAGAGGAGCUUGUGUCUGUCUUGGCUCAGCACCCGGUCCCAGGGCUGCGAGGGUCACAGUGCCACCUAGCCCGGAGCUUAGCAGUGCUCCUCUCUCUGAGAUGCUGCACUAAGCUGCCCAAGGAGACUUGACUCAGUGCCCUGCGUCUCACUCUGACCUGCCGCUUUAACCAGCUUCAGCCUUGGCACAGGCGUUUGGGGUAUGACAUCAUUGCUUUCCCAUUUCUGGAGGUGUAAUGUGCUUGGGCGUAGCCUCCUGGCAGCCCUCAAAUGCGCCUUGUCUGCUGCCCCCUCCACCCCGCCAGCCGGGCACUCCAUUCCUUCCGAGUCGCUGUCGAUGCUUCCCUCCAUUUAUUUAUUUAAAAAACAGUAUUUUCAUGACUCCGCCUCAGCACCCCCCUCAUUUACCUUAGGUACCAUUGUGCCACUUAAGGUAGGAUUCUAAUAGUAAAUAAUUCUACAAAAUAGUUUCUGCUAGUAGAUAAGCACUCACAUCUCAGUGUUUUCUAGUAUGUUUCCUAUGUUCUUAUAUAAUAAGUUUGCAAUUCACAAUUCAAAAAUUGUCUUUUUUAUUUUUCCUGGAAGUACAAGUCCAUUCUUUAUUUUAUGACACCAAGACUGUCCGAUUUCCUGGUUUACCAUCAAAACUUCAUCCAUUUCCUUUGUUGAUCCACAAUGAGAACUGCCUUUUCUCAACCAUUCUGCCUCUCUAUCUAGAAAAUUAUCGCUCGUCUAUACUGGAAAGUUUUACCAAUUGUACAGGAGUUAUACCAAUAAAUACCCUAUGUGGACACAUAAUCUGGUAUAAGAGUGCUUUUUGUGGUUUAGUUUAAGACUCUUCCAGACCAACCAAGCUAAACUUAAAAAGGCACUCUUAUACCUGAACAACUGGCUGGGAUGAUUUAGCUGGGGUUGGUCCUGCUUUGAGCAGGGAGUUAGACUAGAUGACCUCCUGAGGUCUCCCAACCCUAAUCUUCUAUGAUUCGACAAACUGUGUCCACACACAGAGUUAUGGCAGUAUAACUAUACCUGUUUAAACCUACAACAGGACCUUUGUGCUUCACGUCAUCACUUGUGUGUAGAAUUUACUUCCCAAAUAUUCAUAAAGGGCACUAUACUAUCUAGAUUCACGUGACAUUGAUAUUAAUGGGAAUACUUGCUAUGCAAAAGUUAAGCACUUGUUCAAUUUUUUUCUGGAUAGAGGCCUUAGUUUGCACACUAAUACUGCAAUUGUUAAUUAGCUGUGAACUCUACCAAAUAAUCUAUGUAUCUAAUACGUAUCUACAUUCCUAUAACAGUCUAUGCUGGACUUCCAGUAAUAUAUAAUUUUGUUUUCCCUUCAUUAAAAUAAUUCAUUUCUUUAACUAACUCCCACAUCCUGCAAACACUAAAGCACAUGCAUCUCUUCACGUACUUUAUCAGUUGCACUGAUGUUCAUUUUGCUACUGAUUUGUUUAUAUUUGAUUGGCCAGGGCCAUGAAAGUAAGAUAUCCAAUCAAUAAAUUGUCUUUACAUUAUCAUAGUUCCAUAAUAUUUCAUAGAUUUUAAGGACAGAAGGAAUCUUAAGAUCCUCUAGUCUGAUCUAUAACAGAGGCCAUAUAAUGUCACCCCUUUAUCCCUGCACUGAGCUUAUUGUAUUUGACCCUUCAGCACCUGGUAUUUUCUCUGUGAAGGUACUUAUUACACUAUAAUCAAGCCAUCUCUCAGUCUUCUUCUUGAUAAAAUACACAGAUUGAGCUCUUUAAGUCUCUCAUUGUAAGGCAUUUUUGUGGCUCUUUUCUACACUUGUUCCAAUUUUUCAACAUCUUUAAUAACCAAUAAUACUUAAGAACUCUAUAUAGUAUUCCAGUGUCAGUCUCACCACCUGAUACUGAGGUAACAUGAUGUCCCUUUUACUCGCUACUCCUUCUCUAUACAACCAAAGAUCAUAUUAGCCCAGCAUCGCACUGGGAACUUCUGUUUAGUUGCUUAAUCACUGACUCCUAAAUCCUUUUCAGAGUCAUUGCUUCCCAGGAUAGAGUCUCCCAUUCUGUAGGCUUACGUUCUUUGGGCCAGGUUUUUAAAGGUAUUGAAGACUUGAAAAAAAAUCAACUGAUGCCUGCACAUAAAUACACUGCUCCUGUUAAGUCUGAUCUUUAUUUUUAUUGGAAAAAUAAAAUUGUCUAUGUGUGACCCAGGAACCUCUUUGUGCCAACUAGAAGAGGACACAGGAGGUGCAUAGGGUUUUACAGAGAUCCCUUGGAUUGGUAUCUGCAUAAUAGUUCAACAAAGGGUGGCAUGUGAUGUCUCUGACGAGCGCCAGUAGCCCACUUAUCAUUAUCAUUGCAAAAUAUAUUUAUGUAUAAUGUUUAAGAAGUAACAUAUCUAUAGUGAAAAUUAUGUUCUUAAUGUCUUGGAGCUAAGGCAGGAGGUGACAUAUCUAGGAAAUGUUCCUUUAUACUUAUUUCACUGCCUGGUCAUUUAUAUAUUAUUUAUGUAUAUCUCACACAGUAUAUGCCAAUUUGCAUAUGAAGCCACGUGUGGACAAGAGAUUAAAUCUACAGGAAUAAACAAA